UAGGGAAUAUUGGACAAUGGGUGAGAGCCUGAUCCAGCCAUGCCGCGUGCAGGAAGAAGGCGUUAUGCGUUGUAAACUGCUUUUGCCAGGGGAUAAAAAGACCGUGCGCGGUUAAUUGAAGGUACCUGGUGAAUAAGCCACGGCUAACUACGUGCCAGCAGCCGCGGUAAUACGUAGGUGGCAAGCGUUGUCCGGAUUUAUUGGGUUUAAAGGGUGCGUAGGUGGCCCUGUAAGUCAGUGGUGAAAUAUCUCAGCUUAACUGAGAGGGUGCCAUUGAUACUGCAGGGCUUGAGUACAGAUGAGGUAGGCGGAAUUGACGGUGUAGCGGUGAAAUGCAUAGAUAUCGUCAAGAACACCGAUAGCGAAGGCAGCUUACCAAGCUGUAACUGACACUGAGGCACGAAAGUGUGGGGAUCAAACAGGAUUAGAUACCCCAGUAGUCCCUGAGCGGGCUGGCAAGGCGCAU
RNAcentral lists this ribosomal RNA (466 nucleotides) under uncultured bacterium. Its description in RNAcentral is "bacterial SSU rRNA". It matches the Rfam family "Bacterial small subunit ribosomal RNA", at positions 355 to 825 of the family's 1533-position model. The record is from RNAcentral.